GUCUUCAGUAGUGAGAGUUCACUGUGACGAACUAAAACAUGAAAGUAUUAAUUGUUUUGUGUGUGAUGUGCGUUUUGGUGGCUUUCAGUAGUGGGAAAGAAAAGAGGGGUCAUCAAAGAUCUGUAGAAAUUCGCCGGCACGAACCUGACGCACCAUACGCGCCACCAAUGCUGACGCUGCACAGACCCCGGGAACCUUCAGAACGCUCCACAGCCCAGGAUCAUGACAUCGAAGACCAUGACGAUGAUGAUGAAGACUUAGAUGAUUUGAGCGAUGACGAAAUUUCCGUCUAACUUUCAAGUUUACCACAACACAAACGUUGGGUUUCUUAAAACAACUGUUUACAAUGGAUUUUCACGUUUCACGGUUUAUUUUCAGACAGUUGUUUUAGGGAGGGUGCAUUUUCCGUUAUCUUGCUUAAGAAAAUUGGAAGUUCAUGUUGGUGGUUUAAAUGGGCCUAAGACGCUCUAGACGGUCAAUUUUGCGCAAUUUAAUUGGUCGUCUGGGUUGCUAAUAAGACUUUUGUCGAAGAGUCGCCUACAACCUAGAACAAGUAUUCUGAUUCUGCCAAAUGGACUACAUAAAAAUCUUUAUCCAAAUUCUUUUUUCACCAUUAAAGUAUUUUAAAAUAA
This is a long non-coding RNA of Helicoverpa zea (corn earworm), 632 nucleotides long. RefSeq lists it as uncharacterized. The record is from RefSeq and is a predicted model, not a curated record. NCBI's taxonomy places the organism in Eukaryota, Metazoa, Arthropoda, Insecta, Lepidoptera, Noctuidae. The transcript has 2 exons.